GGCAUUACUGGCAGAGGAAAGUACAUGUUCUAAGGCUUGGAGGCAGGAAAAAGAUGGAUGCCUUUGCGGAAAUGAAAGGAGACACGUGGCUGGAGUGACUAAAGGAGGCAUGAGGUGAAGUUUGGUGAGGUUCCAAGCGCCAGGUGAAGCCAUCCCUGAUGUCAGCUGAGGAUUGCUGACUCUUAGAAUCUCCUGAUUUUAACUUCAACUGGAGACACAGCCACACCUAUGAGGCUGUAAGCUGUUGGAGGUCAAGAACCAUGUGAAAGUCAUUUGAUACCAUGCCUGUGCCCAGCUCAGUGCCAGGCUUGUAGCAAGUCCCCAGGGGCUGGUGACUCAAUGGACCCUCAUUGGAGAGGAUGAUGGACAGAUGGCAAAUGGAGGAUGAAAUGGCUUAAAUCCCUGCAGGAGAGUGUGGAUUAGAUGUGUGAAGGGGUUUCCUGGUAGCAAGGGCGCUUCUGGGCCCUGGGGUAGAAGACAGUAGGGUGGUGGGUGAAGCAUAAAGCAGAUCCCUCAGGCCUACUCUUUCCCUCCUGCCCCACCCUACCCCUUGGAGGCGUGUUUGCUCCCUUGAAGGGUAUAAGGCAGCAUCCUUUCCCAGAGGUACAUGGAGGGGUGUAGUGAUGGAGGGCAGGCGGGCAGCAGUUGAAGGAUGGGCUUCUUUAUUUCUGGGAUAAUGUGAGAAGACUCUAUUGGGACCUUCACCUUUAGCUCCAAGAAAAUGAGAGUAGGAGGAAGCUCCCAGUCUGGAAAGGCAGCGUUCUCUAAGUCAGAAAGGGGAAGUGCCACGCAACCUAGGGGAUCCCAAGGGCACCCACUCCACAGUGCUUCAAGCCAUCUAGGAAAGAGGCGUGCCCCAGAGCCCCGCCUUUCCCCAGAAUACGCACGCUUGGAGUCCUGUCCCUUUAAAGCACUCCCCACCUGAUGCCACAGCCCUCUUGAAAAUGGGGCCAGCCCAGCAGCUCUCAAAGGAGCCGGCACAGUAAAUGAUGAGCAUCUCCCCUGAACUCAUCUUCCCGAGCCUGGUGUUUAAAGUGAAUUGAAACGAAUAUCUGAUAAAUGAAUAAACCUGUAAAUGGAACCGAAAACCUUAUGAACCUGAAGGAGAAAUAGGAGUCCCAGGUCUGUUAAGUCUAAAUUGAAUAAAUCUGAUCAACUCCCCGACAAUUUCUGCCAACGCUCUUGAAGAAGAAGGAGAAGAGGAGUGAGCAGAGAUGGGGCAGAGACGGGUGAAAGAGUGAGUAGGGGAGGGCGAGGCAGGAGUUGGUUCAGUAAUUAAGCUAUCACCGUGAGCCUGCAGAGGAGGCCCAGGUGGCCCCCAGCUUCACUCAGUUGGACUGGAUAAAUAGAUGACAUUAGGAGACUCUUGCAAGGCUGGCUGCUCCUGUGUGUCUGCCCCAGAGGACACCUCUGGAGAACAAUUAGACAUUUGUACAAAGCGGGCAAAGUGAGCUCAGCUGUGGGGGAUGGGAGUCCUUGGUGCACGGGAGUCGGUUGGGUAGCAGGUAUGGGAGGUUGGGAAGUCACAUUCAGAAUGAGCUCAGUGAAGAGUGUUGGAGCCAAAGAACUCCUUCCUUAGUCUCCAUUGAGCUCGGCCACUAUCUAACUAUUGUGUUGUGCUAGUUACUUUCUGUAGUGAUUUAAAAACAUGGCCACAAAGUUCCUUAGCACACACUCCAAAGAAGGUGGUGGUGGUGGUGGUUGGGGGCUGGGGGGCUUUAUGCUCUCCCUUCUUGAAUAGGAGGGUUUGUGACUGCUCAGACCAAUACAGAAUGGUGGCACGGAUGCUAUGUGACAUUUAAGGCUGGGUCAUAAAAGGUCACACACCUUCUGACGCAUUUUCUCGGAAUAUUCUCUUUGGGAGAAGCCAGCCGUUAAUGUAGGAAACUCAAUUACCCUGAGGCUGCCAUGCUGGAGAGGUGUUCCAGCCACCGUGCAGCUGAACGGCUAGCUGCCAGCCAACACUGAAUGCUGGCCGUGAGAAUGAGUCCUCUUAUCCAUGCAGCUUAGUCAAGCCUUCAGAUGCCUGCAAGCCCAGCCCGCAUCUGGCUGCAAGGGCCAAGGAGAGUAAACUUCCCCCACCCCUAAACCCUUCCCAGACUCCUGACCGACAAAAUGAUGAGCACCAGCAAAUACUUUUAUAAGCUGCUAAUUUCUAGAGUAAUUUGUUAAUAAAAAAACAUUUCCCCUCUUGGAUCUCGAUUUUCUUCUUUAAAAGGAUGGGUUAGACCCGACAAUUUUCAAAUAUUUAUUUUGAAAAUUGUAAGUAGUAGGUGAACAUGAUAUUUUCAAAAAGAGUUCAAAUAGCACAAAGGGAUAAAACCAGAAAUGAAACAAUCUC
Hippopotamus amphibius kiboko is the source of this 2341-nucleotide long non-coding RNA. RefSeq lists it as uncharacterized. The record is from RefSeq and is a predicted model, not a curated record. NCBI's taxonomy places the organism in Eukaryota, Metazoa, Chordata, Mammalia, Artiodactyla, Hippopotamidae. The transcript is spliced from 3 exons.